RNAcentral lists this ribosomal RNA (253 nucleotides) under uncultured bacterium. Its description in RNAcentral is "partial 16S ribosomal RNA". It matches the Rfam family "Bacterial small subunit ribosomal RNA", at positions 524 to 776 of the family's 1533-position model. The record is from RNAcentral.
UACGAAGGGGGCUAACGUUGUUCGGAUUUACUGGGCGUAAAGCGCACGUAGGCGGAUCGUUAAGUCGGGGGUGAAAUCCUGGAGCUCAACUCCAGAACUGCCUUCGAUACUGGCGAUCUUGAGUCCGGAAGAGGUGAGUGGAACUCCUAGUGUAGAGGUGGAAUUCGUAGAUAUUAGGAAGAACACCAGUGGCGAAGGCGGCUCACUGGUCCGGUACUGACGCUGAGGUGCGAAAGCGUGGGGAGCAAACAGG